RNAcentral lists this ribosomal RNA (500 nucleotides) under uncultured bacterium. RNAcentral describes it as "partial 16S ribosomal RNA". It matches the Rfam family "Bacterial small subunit ribosomal RNA", at positions 30 to 523 of the family's 1533-position model. The record is from RNAcentral.
AUUGAACGCUGGCGGCAUGCCUUACACAUGCAAGUCGAACGGCAGCACGGGAGCAAUCCUGGUGGCGAGUGGCGAACGGGUGAGUAAAGUAUCGGAACGUGCCCAGUCGUGGGGGAUAACGUAGCGAAAGCUACGCUAAUACCGCAUACGAUCUAUGGAUGAAAGCGGGGGAUCGCUAGACCUCGCGCGAUUGGAGCGGCCGAUAUCAGAUUAGGUAGUUGGUGAGGUAAAGGCUCACCAAGCCGACGAUCUGUAGCUGGUCUGAGAGGACGACCAGCCACACUGGGACUGAGACACGGCCCAGACUCCUACGGGAGGCAGCAGUGGGGAAUUUUGGACAAUGGGCGCAAGCCUGAUCCAGCAAUGCCGCGUGCAGGAUGAAGGCCUUCGGGUUGUAAACUGCUUUUGUACGGAACGAAACGGCGAGCUCUAAUACAGUUUGCUAAUGACGGUACCGUAAGAAUAAGCACCGGCUAACUACGUGCCAGCAGCCGCCGUAA